This 72-nucleotide transfer RNA is filed under the name Bos taurus (domestic cattle). It matches the Rfam family "tRNA". Rfam says of the family: Transfer RNA (tRNA) molecules are approximately 80 nucleotides in length. Their secondary structure includes four short double-helical elements and three loops (D, anti-codon, and T loops). Further hydrogen bonds mediate the characteristic L-shaped molecular structure. tRNAs have two regions of fundamental functional importance: the anti-codon, which is responsible for specific mRNA codon recognition, and the 3' end, to which the tRNAs corresponding amino acid is attached (by aminoacyl-tRNA synthetases). tRNAs cope with the degeneracy of the genetic code in two manners: having more than one tRNA (with a specific anti-codon) for a particular amino acid; and 'wobble' base-pairing, i.e. permitting non-standard base-pairing at the 3rd anti-codon position. The record is from Rfam by way of RNAcentral. Lineage: Eukaryota; Metazoa; Chordata; Mammalia; Artiodactyla; Bovidae. RNAcentral also lists the same sequence under 3 other names.
UUCCUGGUGGCUCAGAUGGUAAAGAAUCUGCCUGCAAUGCAGGAGACCCAGCUUCAAUCCUGCGUCAGGAAG